This 309-nucleotide ribosomal RNA is filed under the name uncultured bacterium. Its description in RNAcentral is "bacterial SSU rRNA". It matches the Rfam family "Bacterial small subunit ribosomal RNA", at positions 28 to 334 of the family's 1533-position model. The record is from RNAcentral.
GACGAACGCUGGCGGCACGCCUAACACAUGCAAGUCGAACGGACGAGGGAGAGCUUGCUCUUCUAAGUUAGUGGCGGACGGGUGAGUAACACGUGAGCAACCUACCCUUGAGAGGGGGAUAGCUUCUGGAAACGGAUGGUAAUACCCCAUAACAUAUAUUUAUCGCAUGGUAGAUAUAUCAAAAGAAAUUCGCUCAAGGAUGGGCUCGCGUCUGAUUAGAUAGUUGGUGAGGUAACGGCUCACCAAGUCGACGAUCAGUAGCCGGACUGAGAGGUUGAACGGCCACAUUGGGACUGAGACACGGCCCAG